Molecule: ribosomal RNA, 574 nt
Filed under: uncultured Desulfarculales bacterium
Lineage: Bacteria; Pseudomonadati; Thermodesulfobacteriota; Desulfarculia; Desulfarculales
Description: bacterial SSU rRNA
Rfam family: Bacterial small subunit ribosomal RNA
Source: RNAcentral
GACGAACGCUGGCGGCGUGCUUAACACAUGCAAGUCGAACGCGAAUUGGGGGCAACCCCAUAGUAGAGUGGCGCACGGGUGAGUAACACGUGGGUAAUCAACCCUUGGGUGGGGGAUAACGGCUCGAAAGGGCCGCUAAUCCCGCAUAAGACCACGGAGGCUUCGGCUUCUGGGGCCAAAGGAGCAAUCCGCCUGAGGACGAGCCCGCGUCCCAUCAGCUAGUUGGUGAGGUAACGGCCCACCAAGGCUGUGACGGGUAGCUGGUCUGAGAGGACGACCAGCCACACUGGGACUGACACACGGCCCAGACUCCUACGGGAGGCAGCAGUGAGGAAUAUUGGACAAUGGGCGAAAGCCUGAUCCAGCAACGCCGCGUGGGUGAUGAAGGCCUUCGGGUUGUAAAGCCCUGUCGAGGGGGACGAGAACGGACGGUACCCCUAAAGGAAGCACCGGCUAACUCCGUGCCAGCAGCCGCGGUAAUACGGAGGGUGCAAGCGUUGUCCGGAAUUACUGGGCGUAAAGCAGGUGCAGGCGGUUCGUUGUGUCGGGUGUGAAAUCCCAAGGCUUAACCUUG